UGCAUAUUUACAGGAACGUGGAAUUAAAUCCUUUAAAUUUGAGCAAUAUUACAAGGGAUGUAAUCAACUCGGCUCGUUAGUAGAGUCUUGCGUGAAACUAACCAAGCGCUUAUUAUUUGGAGCAAUACGCAAUAAUGUUCUUCCCCUUCGGGAUUUUGAUUUUAUUGUUCACAAAACUAUACAUUUGGUGAACAGAAGGCCAAUUUCAUUUAAAGAGUCUCUUAGGGACUCUUCAGGAGAGAGCAUUCCAGAAAUCAUUACCCCGGAGAUGUUGAUUCAUGGCAGAGAAUUGGUUUCCAUCAAUAUAAUCCCUCAACUACAAGGCCCAACAGAUCCCGAUCCGGAAUUCAAUGCAGAUCAGAUUCCUUCAUCAUUACUGAAACUACAAAAUGUACGACAUAAUCUCAUUAAAAUAUACAAUGAAGAAUUUAUUGGGAAUCUUAUAUAUCAAGCCGUGAAUAAAAAAGACCGAUACAAGCCCGUUCAACAUAAAGAACUUAAAGUUGGAGAUAUAGUACUUUUGAAGGAACCCUUAGCUAAACCCUGUAAUUAUCCAAUGGGACGCAUUAAGGAAAUUAUAACAAAUAUAAACAAUGAAGUUACGGCUGUGAAAGUCUUUAAAGGGAAAACUGGAGAAAUAUUAAAACGGCACUCUAGUUCUAUAAUUCCUCUUUUGUCAGUCCCAGGCGAUGAUGAGAAGCAAGGUGUACCAGACACUAAUAAUGUUCAUAUUGUAUCAUCACGUCCUAAAAGAAAAGCAGCUAUACAGGGUGCUGCCAAAUUCACCAAAUUUUGGCUGAAUCUGAUUAGGGAUUUUUCAUUACUGUUAAUAUUGUUUUAUUUGGAUUCUUUUGAUUGGUUUUUAUUUUUGGGUAAUUUUCAUGUAAAUACAUUUACAUUAUAUACUUUUGAUUUCAUACUAAAUCAAAAUCUCUCCCCUGGAGUGUAGAAAAAUAUGUAUUUAAUUCCUUUAAUUUUACCAGUUAUUAAAAAAAAAUAUGCAUUAUCACUACGGCAUCAGUAUUAAAGUGCUUUACCUAUGUAAUUACUUAACUAGUCAAUUUUAAAAUUAACGUAAUUUUCAUAAAUAGCUUUUCUCGUCUAAUCCUUUUAAAUGGUUAUUGCCGUAAACAAAUCACCAAUUUUAAUGCGGAAAAUGUUUUCUUUGUUUACUGAGUGACGAAGAACCGGCAGUACCUGUCAAGAACUUAACAACAGCAGUCUUCAGCAGAAGUUCCAGUCAUACUUACCGUGGAUUAAACUUUGAAGUGAUUUAGUGACAUAUGGAUCUUAUCAUUUGCAUCACGGUCAUGUGUUACGCAAAUAUGGAAUAAUUCUAUCAAGUUACCAUUGGACCCGGACCUGCCAAAGGGGAACCCGCUUACCUAUCUCCUAAAUCACACUAAAAACAAGAUGUGUUUGUAUACUUUCGGAUUCAUUUCAUUGGCCUCCGGAUGAUGCAGCCCAAGUACUCACUUCCUAUCCUUAUGGUUCACGUCAAGUGUUUGUUUGUCAUUCAGAAGUUUAUUUUUGUGGUUCGAUGAUAUACAUUACAAUUAAAUUCAUUGUAACUUA
Molecule: long non-coding RNA, 1575 nt
Organism: Macrobrachium nipponense
Lineage: Eukaryota; Metazoa; Arthropoda; Malacostraca; Decapoda; Palaemonidae
Exons: 2
Source: RefSeq, a predicted model, not a curated record